RNAcentral lists this long non-coding RNA (1122 nucleotides) under Callithrix jacchus (white-tufted-ear marmoset). RNAcentral describes it as "lncRNA (ENSCJAG00000072710.1)". The record is from RNAcentral. Lineage: Eukaryota; Metazoa; Chordata; Mammalia; Primates; Cebidae.
CCCAAUAGACCCCAGUGUUUAGUACUCCCUUCUCUGUGUCCAUGUGUUCUCAUCUUUCAUCACCCACCUAUGAGUGAGAAUAUGCGGUGUUUCAUUUUGUUCUUGUGUCAGUUUGCUGAGAAUGUUCUCCAGAUUCAUCCAUGUCCCUACAAACGACAUGAACUCAUCAUUUCUGAUUGCUGCAUAAUAUUCCAUGGUGUAUAUGUGACACAUUUUUCCCAUCCAGUCUAUUAUCAAUGGGCAUUUGGGUUGAUUCCAGGUCUUUGCUAUUGUAAACAGUGCUGCAAUGAACAUUCGUGUACAUGUGUCCUUAUAGUAGAAGGAUUUAUAGUCUUUUGGAUAUAUACCCAGUAAUGGGAUUGCUGGGUCAAAUGGAAUUUCUAUUUCUAAGGCCUUGAGGAAUCGCCACACCGUCUUCCACAAUGGUUGAACUAAUUUACACUCCCACCAACAGUGUAAAAGUGUUCCUUUUUCUCCACAUCCUCUCCAGCAUCUGUUGUCUCCAGAUUUUUUAAUGAUCGCCAUUCUAACUGGCGUGAGAUGGUAUCUCAAUGUGGUUUUGAUUUGCAUCUCUCUGAUGACCAGUGACGAUGAGCAUUUUUUCAUAUGAUUGUUGGCCUCAUAUAUGUCUUCUUUCGUAAAGUAUCUGUUCAUAUCCUUUGCCCACUUUUGAAUGGGCUUGUUUUUUUUCCUGUAAAUCUGUUUGAGUUCUUUGUAAAUUCUGGAUAUCAGCCCUUUGUCAGAUGGGUAAACUGCAAAAAUUUUUUCCCAUUCUGUUGGUUGCCGAUCCACUCUAGUGACUGUUUCUUUUGCUGUGCAGAAGCUGUGGAGUUUCAUUAGGUCCCGUUUGUCUAUUUUGGCUUUUGUUGCCAAUGCUUUUGGUGUUUUGUUCAUGAAGUCCUUGCCUACUCCUAUGUCCUGGAUAGUUUUGCCUAGAUUUUCUUCUAGGGUUUUUAUGGUGCCAGGUCUUAUGUUUAAGUCUUUAAUCCAUCUGGAGUUAAUUUUAGUGUAAGGUGUCAGGAAGGGGUCCAGUUUCUGCUUUCUGCACAUGGCUAGCCAGUUUUCCCAACACCAUUUGUUAAACAUGGAAUCCUUUCCCCAUUGCUUGUUUUUGUCAGGUUU